CCUUCGAUAGCUCUGUUGGUAGAGCGGAGGACUGUAGAUCCUUAGGUCGCUGGUUCAAAUCCGGCUCGAAGGA
This 73-nucleotide transfer RNA is filed under the name Saccoglossus kowalevskii. RNAcentral's name for it is "tRNA-Tyr". It matches the Rfam family "tRNA". Rfam says of the family: Transfer RNA (tRNA) molecules are approximately 80 nucleotides in length. Their secondary structure includes four short double-helical elements and three loops (D, anti-codon, and T loops). Lineage: Eukaryota; Metazoa; Hemichordata; Enteropneusta; Harrimaniidae. The record is from RNAcentral.